RNAcentral lists this long non-coding RNA (293 nucleotides) under Elaeis guineensis (African oil palm). RNAcentral's name for it is "long non-coding RNA (EGUI_LNC034507)". The record is from RNAcentral. Lineage: Eukaryota; Viridiplantae; Streptophyta; Magnoliopsida; Arecales; Arecaceae.
CAUGGCAGACAGAGACUCUGCAAACACAGAUGCCUCCAUUUUGAUUAGUUAUUUACAAAUGCGAUCCGAUUUCGCAUAGUAAAGCAAAUAACUGCCCAACUUAAAAAUUUGAGUGUUCUUGUCAAAAAAAAAGAGACAUAAACAAAAAUACACAAAUCAUAAAAAGAUUAAAAAUCUUUUUUUUCUUGUAUAGAAGAAAAUGAUACAAUCUCCGCUAUAAAUCUCAGACAUAAUUACUUCAUAAUAUCAACUCUUAGCGCAAAAUACAGAAAAAUCACUACACAAACACACAA